RNAcentral lists this ribosomal RNA (161 nucleotides) under Thesium foliosum. Its description in RNAcentral is "5.8S ribosomal RNA". It matches the Rfam family "5.8S ribosomal RNA". From Rfam's summary of the family: 5.8S ribosomal RNA (5.8S rRNA) is a component of the large subunit of the eukaryotic ribosome. It is transcribed by RNA polymerase I as part of the 45S precursor that also contains 18S and 28S rRNA. Lineage: Eukaryota; Viridiplantae; Streptophyta; Magnoliopsida; Santalales; Thesiaceae. The record is from RNAcentral.
UAAAAUGACUCUCGGCAACGGAUAUCUAGGCUCUCGCAUCGAUGAAGAACGCAGCGAAAUGCGAUACUUGGUGUGAAUUGCAGAAUCCCGUGAAUCAUCGAGUCUUUGAACGCAAGUUGCGCCCGCGGUCUUCCGGCCAAGGGCACGUCUGCCUGGGCGUC